GCUCUUGUGGUGACCUGGGAAUCAAUGUGUGAGGUGGUGCUAUGUAGCAGGAACCCCUCUUGCUUUGCAAAUAGUUUUUUGUUUGUUUUCCUUUUUGCCCAAUAGAGCCCUGCUCUACUGACCCUUCAAUGUGCCCGUGUGCCUAAAUAUUCCUGGUCGUGUGAAAAGAACCCAGGUAUUAGCUGAACUAAGGAGCACAAUUCUGCAACAUUUUGGCACCCAAACACGGGGCUUGAGAAAUGAAUGCAAUUGGAGAAACUGGUUGUUUUACCAGGCGUUGAUUGGAAAUGUGUGCUUCCCUUUAAGCAGUCAAGCUCAACUUGCAGAACUGAUGGGAACCCCUUGGGAAAACUGGCCUCAAAUGUUUGUCUACACAGUCCACAUACAGGGUUCUUAACCUGCGACUGACCCUGCUUGUGCCUGUGAACCAACCAACAAUCUCUGGCUGCAGCUCAGAAAGGACAAAAGAGAAUGGUGGACUGGAGCCCAAAAUGCACACUGGAGGAAGUGGAUGGAGCCACGUGGAUGUCAUGCCUUAUGCAGGGGAGGAGCCUGCUCUCUUCAGCUCCUGUGGUAAUGUGGGAAUCGAUCUGUGAGACUGGAGUGCAAUGGCAUUAUCUCAGCUCACUGCAACAUCCGCCUCCCGUGUUCAAGCAAUUCUCCUGCUUCAGUCUCCGAAGUAGCUGGGAUUACAAUAGACUGGAUUUUAUCAAGGAAUGUAUUUCUUCUAGAAAAUAGAUACACUUUCAAAGAUACGUUAAUUUACAUGAGAGCUUGCCUGUGUGCACAAUAGAAAGCCAAAAAUAAAGAGGUUAUCAUCUAAUGGCA
This 828-nucleotide long non-coding RNA is filed under the name Homo sapiens (human). RNAcentral's name for it is "p53 upregulated regulator of p53 levels". The record is from RNAcentral. Lineage: Eukaryota; Metazoa; Chordata; Mammalia; Primates; Hominidae.